Long non-coding RNA from Canis lupus familiaris (dog), 7925 nucleotides. RefSeq lists it as uncharacterized. The transcript has 9 exons. Lineage: Eukaryota; Metazoa; Chordata; Mammalia; Carnivora; Canidae. The record is from RefSeq and is a predicted model, not a curated record.
GGGCUUCUUUUUUUAGCUGUAAAGGAUUCAGCUUCUGCUGCACCGUCUUUGUGACAGGACAGCAGGGUUUCCAAGCCAGAAGCAUUCAGGGAGUGGCGUGAAGGGCAUGGUCAUUUAGGGCCUGGAAGGUUUCCAUCAGAGAGCUCAGGUGAAGGCCUCAGCCCCUGGAGCCUGCCUCACCAGGAGGGAGCCCAGCAGGAAGAAAACGCUUUGGCCGUGCUGAGCAGAACUCAUUAGUGGUGGGGUCAAUCCUGAGGUUAAUGUAUAUUUGUUAGACUUUUUUGUUUCCUGGUGUCAUGUUUCCAUGCCUAAGCCCAGAGUCGCUCUGUAGACUUUGGCAUGGAUUUAGCAGCAUUCUCGCUGAAAGGUGAGGCCAGUCUGUGUAUGCAAGAAAACCUCUGAGGUCUGCCCUUAAAAAGACUACAACGUGAUUGUUCAGAUCAGACAAUCAGGCUUCAAGAAGGUACUGAAAGGAUGAAGCGUCCAUGCUAGUGUGGGUGCAAAUGUUUCACAAGAGACUCUUUAGGGGGAAAGGGCACCAUUGGAGGGUUUGCUGAUUUCUCUGAUGUAAAAAGUCCCCCUACGGCCAAGUUCAAGUUACCAACAUGACGGUCACGGAGUGUGGCAUGUGGAAGAGCUGCCAAGGACCAGCACACCACCGGCCAGGAGUCAGAACAGACACAGCGGGACUCACUCAGAGAAGCAGGAAGAAUUGGAACUCAGAGACCAGACGAGGCUGUUAGAGUAGAGGCUGGUGUGAGCUGUGCGCUGUGGAAGGCAUGAAGGCUGGGUGAGGGGACCUGUGCAGCCACUGUGGGGAUGGAGGCCCAGAAACAAAGGUGAUGAAUGUGUGAGAUGAUCAAACCUGCGGAAGUUACCGGAAUGGAUUCCCUUCAGAUAAUGGACAUUGGUUAGAGACCCAGAAAGGGAUCGCCCAGAUGGUUCUGCAGUGGUUGGGGACUCGGAGCAAGUGAGACAUACUUCUACGGCUUCUUGUUUGCACAGUAUCUCUGACAACGUCACUGUCGUGAGGAAGACUUAACCCUUCUCGAGUGCUUCGCACCUCAGGAGAGGGCAACUGGGCAAAGCAAACACAGAAGGACAUCCUGGGUCCUGCUUCAGGCUCCCAGUCCCCUGCACUCUCUCGCCUCUCGAUUGCAAGGGAUGGAGAAAGCGUUUGCAGGCUCCAGCACAGUGGAGCAAAUGGCUGGCCUUUGGAAAAACCUCCCUUUCAGACACUUGGAGCUAGCCUGCAGUCACGGCCACAAGGUUCCAGCCAGAGGAAAUAGAAAACUUGGCAGGCUUUCCAUGGGGCUUCUAGAUGGAACAGAAGAGCCUAAAACCCUGUUCUGUUGUUUGGACUUGGGACUCCCUGUGGCCAGGAGUCAGUCAGGGGCCAUGUGCUCAAGCCACCAAGCUACCUGGGACCACAGAGAUCGGGCUGGGAGAGGUACAUCCUGGAAAUCCUUAGGUUUUGAUUUAAAAACCUCCUCCUACAGGACACCUGCGGGGUGCCAGGCCCUGUGCUAGCAGCUUUGCAUAUAUUAUAUCUAAUCUUUCCAGCCACCUUGCAUGGUAGGUGUUAUUACCCUCAUUUUAGAAGUGAGGAAGCAGAGGUGCCAGCUAUGAUCUUCUGCGUGGCUCUUGGCCCUGCUAAUAGAGCACAGUUGGAAGAGUCCUAGUUUCGUGAAGUAUCUGAAAUGGAAGGAACAUUAGAGGUCAUGUCUGCCUUGUGAGGAUAAUGAUGAAAAGAGAUCCAAAGCCAGAAAUGUAAAUUAAUCUGCUCAAGGACACACAGCAGAGCUGACACCUUCACAUCCAUCUCUUCUUUCCCAUGUAAUAGCAGGAGAACAGAGAGAUGUAGUUGCCACCUGGGAUGAAUGGAACAAGUGUCAAGGCCUGCUCUGUCUCUGUCUCUAAGCGAUGAUCACCACAGGCAUGGCAGUUUUCAAAGGUCUUCUCACUUGAUCUGGUCGACAUGUCUUAAAAAUGAGAGAAGGGGAAGCUUUGCCGUUCUGGGAGGAUGAAGUAAGCUGCCGAUGAAAAAAAGUGCACAUCCACGUCUGUAAAAUGUUUUCAGCCUCUCACGAUAAAAGUGGCGGAGGCGAGUCAACGAUUUUAGAAUUUUCUUUUUUCCUUCAUCUCGUAAACUUAGGUGUCACACACUGCUAAGUCUUUGCUUCCACAGGGUGGCAAAUUUGCUUCUCUCUCUCUUUGGUUUGCUCCAAAUUGCUUGGGGUUCCAUCAGAAAGCUCUUCUAGGAAUGUCCCUGCAUUAUCUCAUGAAGUCUCUAGGGAGUGUAUAGUCUACAGUCAGCGCCAUAACAUAAACACCAGUCUCCUUGAGCCACAUGUGGGAUUGCCCAGACUCUGGCAUCUUGGAACUCAGAAAUGGUGCAUGUACUGGGGUCUGGCCGCAGCACCAUGUACAGCAUAGUUAAGAAGCACUAGGGCUGAGAGGGAACGGGGAAGCUGUGAUAGGGUCAUUUGCAAGGGCAUGGAAUAAGUAGUUUAGAUGAUUGGUUCUAUUUUUCACUUUGCAUAUUCUGUAAGAGUCAGUUUUAUUUAUCUGUUAAGUGAAUAUAAUAACGGAUAAACCUGCUUCUAAACGGAAUGAGAUACAAAAUCUACACACGUUCAAGAGUCUGUCUGAGCCGGCCUUAGCUAUGCUCCCUAUGCUUCAGCCACUGGAGGGCUUGCUGAUCCCUGAAUGUGUCAUGACAGUGCCCAUGGGAAAUAAGAGUAAUACCUUCUUCAGUUUGCUAUCUAUGAUUUACCCUCUAGUCAAAAAGGAUUUGACACUUUGGAGUUAAACUUUCACGUACAUUUUCCCAUUUAGCCCUCAAAAGGACCCUGUGAAAGAGAUCUUUCUUCCCAUUUUGCAGAUGCCAAAUCCAGGCACAGACAGGUGAAACACUAAGCUCAAGGUCACAUAUAUGUUAGAUGCAGGAACAAUGGGUCUCCUGAGUUCCAACCCAGAAUUCUUUCCUCUGUAUUGCAUGGGACAAGGGCUUAAUUCUCCCAGAUUUGGAGUAUAUGUUUGGCCACUAAUGCUUUCCUUCAAGAUGGGAAAAACACCUGGCUGUUGCUUUUCUACACCACAGUAAUGACCACAUACCUCAUGUGCACACAGGCUUCCCUGCCUUGAUUCAUCCUGUCCCCUCUGCUGGGAAUGCCUUCCUCUCCCCUUCUCCGAAUGACCAACUCCUCCUAAUUCCUUUUAAGGCCACAUGCUAUCUGAUUAAUUUCCUUUUUUAUGUCCCACGGUGCUUUUCAUGUCUUCACUACAGCAAGUCAGUGGGCAGUAAGCCAUAGCCAGGUGUGUCUCAUGGAGUCACAGGGGGGACAGAACCCAGUGACCAAGUAGAGGGAAAGCUUGUUCAGAUGCAGGAUCAAGUCUUCAUUUUUAUAUUUUCAUAGUGGAUAUUUGGCAGAUAAUUGACCAGAAGUUGCUCAGAGCCUGAAAAUCAGCCUGCUUCUAGAAAGAAACAAAAUGGCAGGAGAGAAGUAAUGUAGUAAAUAUGGAAACCAGGAUCUCAGCCCUCACAUUGCAAACUGAAUUUCUUGAGGCUACAGAUAACUUCCUGGAGUGCCUGCGCAUUUCAGAUGGUUAGGCACACUUUGGAGGGACUCUUGGAAUUUUUUGGGAGAUGGGUCUACCAGUAGUUCCUGUUUCGAGUGAGCCUUAGCUCCCUCAACCAAUGCCUUAAGAGCUGACUGCUGGCGUGCCAUGUUCUGUUGCCUUAGCCUGAAUUUUUCCUUCUAAGUGUCAAAAACAACAAUAGAUGGAGAAAAUGAAUUGAGUGUGUGUGUGUGUGUGUGUGUGUGUGUGUGUGUUGGGGGUGGGGAGCAAUCCAGGAGUCCCAGAAUAACCUCCAGUUUGGUAAUAAUUUAUCUUAUUUCAUUGUUAAUUUUGCAAUUAAGCAGGCGUACUUUAUAUGCCCGAAUGACCCAUGGAUUGUAUCUUAAUCAAAUUAAUGUGUCUAACAUAAGACUGAUUCAGUGUUCAACUGUGAGACUGACAAAUGACGCAAAGCCCAAGUUUUCUCUUUCCUUUCUCUCUCCUCUCCCCGCAAAACCCUCCAUCACGAAAGGUCAACUGACUGAAAAGCUGUUGUUUUGAUGGCUGCCAUGAGAUCCUAUUGGUUAAAAAUGUGAGAAGGCUGGGUACCUCCCCCCACCCCACUUCAAACCAACUGUAUGUGUGUGUGAUAGUGUGUGUGUAAGUUUGGAUGAAAAAAAAUUGUGGUUAAUUCUUCUUGUUGUGUACUUCCUGCCACUGACAUUUGUUGCUGCUGCUGUGUAAUGUAGUUGAGGCUGAGUAGGAGAAUGAGAUGCAAAUGAACUAUAGAUGUAUUCCUUAAUUAUGGCUACCCUCCUCAAUCUCUAUUCUUGGAAAAUUUGAAAAGUAGAAAAAGGUGACCAGGGAAGCCAGCUAGUUGUUGCAUUGCCCUGAAGCAACCCCUUUAGAUCAUUUUAGUUGAUAAGUAAUUUGAAAAAAGUAUGAUUCUGUUUAAUAAAAUGAUAUCUAUAUUUUGAGACUAUAAAUAAUAAAUAAUGGUUUCUUAAAGAAGACUUUGGGUAAAGGUCUAAGACUUAUGUUUUCCUGGGCUUAAUUUAUCAGCACUUAGAGGGACUUCAGCAAUAGUUUCUCAUCCUCAUCUGAUCCAUUUGCCAGGAUUAGUGAGAUAUUUCUUAACUCUAAUCAGGUCACAUCUCUUCCCUGUUUAAAACCUUUCAAUGGCUUCCAAUUGCACUAAGUUCAAAGUGCUUGCCAUGGUUUAUGAGACCUAUAUAAUAUGCUCCCUUCUUGCCCUCUGACCUUCUCUCUCUCCCCUCCCCCUUACUACACUGGCCACUUGCUUUCCAGCCUCAGGACCUUUGCAAAGGCUAUUUCUGCAUUUUGCCCCUCUGCUCCCAUCCUGGCUCAUAGAGUAAUGGUCACCUGUACAGUCAGGCCUUUCCUGACCCACCGAUGAAAACUAUGCCAUUCUUUCUAUUAUGUCUCUUCACACUUCCCUAUGCUUUCCCUUUCAUGAAUAUGUGAUAAUUUGUAAUUUUAUAUUUAUUUUUCUACUAAAGUUUUGUUUAAUGACUGUUUACUCACUACUCUAUAAGCUUUAUGUCUGCUUGAUUUGCCACUGUACGCAGUUCUGGGCAUAUAGUAGGAGCUUAAUUAAUAUUUAUUGAAAGAAAGAAUGGGCAAUGCAUUGACUUUCAUAAUACUUGAGAUUCCUUAGCCACAGAAUGGGAAUAGUCAUCUUUAUUCAAUAGCUAGCUAUGGAAUUCAACUUGACAUUUGUUUUACACAGAACUUUGAGAUGUUAGGAUAUUGGUUGGCCAUGGAAGGAAUGUGAGACCAGGAGUUUUGUUUUUUGUUUUUCCCCUCCAUUCAGAGUUCAGUGGCUUGCGUACUAGGGAUUAGACACAGCCCCUGUUCUUCCUCCCAUGCCAGGCCAGGGUAGCUGCAUCUCUGCUGCAUCUUCCUUCUUUUAGCCCCUCCAGUCAUUGUCUCUGCUUUUAACCAGCCUGGGAAAUCAUAGGGAAUACAUAUAUCAACAAUUCAAGGUUCACUCCUCACAAUUCUCCCUUUAUUUAGGAAUUUAUUGUUGCCUAAAUAAUCUUGGAGACUUUAAAAGAGAUGUUGAAACAGUCUAGGCCAGAGCCUAAAGUUUUUUCAGGUAUGUUCCUACCAAACCCAUGGCUCUGAUUCCUUUUCAGUCCAAAAAUUUCUUCCAGAGUGGAUACAGAAAUCUGAAAGAAGGUGAUAACACAAGGAGUCAUGUCUUCCAGAAAACCAGUGAAUAUCUCUGAACUUUGAUUUAUCUAUGAAAUGUGGCUAAAACCAUCAAUCUGAAGGUGCAUUUAAGACUAAAUUAAAUCACAUAUGUAAUAGUAUUUUUACAGUAUCUGAUACUCAAUGCUCAGUCAAAGUCCACUUAUUAUUUAUCUACCACUUUCACUUCUCCCUACCCUUCUUUGGUCACUCCAGAUGCUACUCUGAGAUUCCUUUAGCCCAGGAUGGGAAAGAGUAUCAUGACAGUUGGCCCACCUGUUCAUCAAGAAAGUGGGAAAGUGUGUUGUGUUUAGUCGAUGAAUCAUUGAGGAGCAUUGACCUCACAUAGGAUUUUCCAUCUCAGCUCUGUGUAUGUGCUGGAUUUCAGCCUCUAGAAUUCCAGUAUGCGGAGGGGUUUUAAUGUUAUCUUAAAGUAGUAGGGUCCCUACCCCCCAAGAAGCUAAGUGGAUGAGGGAUGUGGAGAGAUACUUAUAGAAGACUGAUGCUCUGCCUUGGACAGUAUGAUGCCUGCCUGGGAGAAGUGACCAGGCUGGCAACAUCUGAAAAAGGGUUCUGCUAGAUUCUCAGGCUGGGAGAUAACUUACUACUCUGUGCCAGAUUCCUCUUCUGAGAUUUCUACUCCUUGAAAGGUGCCAGCCUAGAAUCGAAGAGUUGACUAAUUUGAGUUGGUGGAUCUGAGUUCAUGUGCCAGCUCUGCCAUUUACAGAAUUGUGACCACAGCCUGUGGCUUCAACUCCUAUGCCACAGUUUUCAUAUUGGUGAGUGGAGGAAGAUGGUGUGUACCUCAUGGAACUAUUAGGAGAGAGCAUGGAAGGCAUUGAAGAGUGCCUGGCACUUGGCCAACAGUCAAGGCUAGUUGGCUCCAUUCCUCGACCUGCCUCCCAUAUUCCUCUGUGUUCUUUGCUAUGGAAGGAGCCUGACAAGCAUCAAGGACUAUGAGGAAGAUGAAAGAGAAAACUUCAGGAGAGCUCACAGAAGGAGUUACCAACUCAUUUCCGGGUGUCUAAGAGGGCCAUACAUCAGAGAUGACAUUUGAGCCAAAUCUGGGAAGAAAAUAAUUUUCCAGAGACACAGAAGUGCUUACCUAUGAGAAGGUAACGACAUGUUCAAAGACCCAGAGGUGAGAAGAGCACAGUGUGAUAUGGGACUCAGUGGUAGCUGGAAUUUAGGGUGUGUCUCUGUCUACCUGAGUUUGUAGGGUGGAGUCAACAGGCAAAACCAGAAGGUGGGGAAGGGGGGUGCUGGAUCAAGAAGAGCUUUGUAUGCCAGACUCAGGAGUUUGGACUGUUUCCUAUAGGAUCUGGGAAAGCAUUGAAGGAUGUUAAGCAGGGUGAUAAGAUUCAAAGUAAGGCUUAAGCAUAUUGUUCUGCAGACAGUCUGGAAAAUGGAUUGGAGAUAAGGAGAUAGCUGGAAGAUGCCAGAAAGAGUCAUGAUGGACGAUGAUGAGGGCCUGACCAGUUCCAGCUGAAGUGGGGAUGGGCAGGAGGAAAUGGAUGUGAGAAAUUCAGGACCUGGCAGGAACAUGAGUACCGGAGCAAUGGGUAGCGCUUGCAUGAGUGCCCCACUAUGAUGAGACAGUGGACUUUCAGAGAUCAGUACCAUGAGAUGCUCCAACCAUAGCAGCUUGGUUCCCGGUUCACCUCAGGACAAUGCAAACUGAGCUAUGCAUUUACUGUAAUUCUAAUCAGAUGACUCUAUAAUUGGAAGAACACCAGUGGCAUUCUGUCUUUGGAGUCUUCUCCAUUAGGCUACUGAACGAGGGCCAGGGGACCUUUGCUUGUCCCAAAUGCGGUCCUGAUAGAGACUUUGGGAUCUGGGUACUAUGUUCCAUUGUGUAAUAGGAUCAUGUUCUUUCUCCUCUUUUGGGAGUUUAUUUCUGCUUGAAGAAGACCUGCCCAGGACUGGAUAUGCCUACAACUUCACAAUAUUCUUAUAUUGAACUUUUCUGAAUUUCCCUGACUGGUUGUCUUAUUGGCCCCAGGACAUUUAAAAGUUCUUUCACGUCUUCUGGAUUCAGCCAUUUAAUUGAAGAGAUAGGCCUGAUCGAAGAUGUGUUCCCAAAUACAUCUCAUCAAUCUCAUUUAUAAAUUACCUUUUACAUUGGAUUAAUAAAAUGCUGUAAAAUCUCA